UUUUGGCUAAUUGUUGCUUCCCUUCCGGAUAUAAGCUGGGUUGGUGGCUUUUAUGCUGAGUGGUUUCGGGAAUGUAACCGUAAAGGUGCAUGAGUGGUGUUUGGCUUGUUUCUGGUGGUUGGCUCCUUGCUUUCGCAACCAACUUCCACCUGGCAGGCCUCUUCAGUUGUCCGUAUGUGCAUGUAUCGCCCUGAAUCAUUGUGGGUUUCUUGUGUUGCAUUCCUGAAUGACGGUAUCGUUUGGUAAAUUGGCUUGUUUUCUUCUUGUGUCGCAAUUGCGAUGCGGGAUGAAACUUUAGGCAACGUCUUGUGAACCACUCCUUCGAAGCAUAUGCAUCGGUUUUGUGGCUCAUUGGGUGUUCCUUGGUCUCAUCGAUACGGAACCUUUUGUGGGCAAGAGGUAUUUAAGAAGCUCAUUGUUUGCCCUUGUUAAGCUUUUCAAAUACGAUUUCCUACCGUGUCUUUUGCGGUAGGUGAUAUCGAAUAUGAAUG
Molecule: unclassified non-coding RNA, 491 nt
Filed under: Hyalosperma glutinosum
Lineage: Eukaryota; Viridiplantae; Streptophyta; Magnoliopsida; Asterales; Asteraceae
Description: partial external transcribed spacer
Source: RNAcentral